This 207-nucleotide ribosomal RNA is filed under the name uncultured bacterium. Its description in RNAcentral is "partial 16S ribosomal RNA". It matches the Rfam family "Bacterial small subunit ribosomal RNA", at positions 568 to 774 of the family's 1533-position model. The record is from RNAcentral.
CGCGUAGGCGGCCUGCUAAGUCGAACGUGAAAUCCCUGGGCUCAACCCAGGAACUGCGUCCGAUACUGGUUGGCUUGAAUCCGGGAGAGGGAUGUGGAAUUCCAGGUGUAGCGGUGAAAUGCGUAGAUAUCUGGAGGAACACCGGUGGCGAAGGCGACAUCCUGGACCGGUAUUGACGCUGAGGCGCGAAAGCCAGGGGAGCAAACG